RNAcentral lists this ribosomal RNA (73 nucleotides) under Tepidibacter thalassicus DSM 15285. RNAcentral's name for it is "23S rRNA. Bacterial LSU". The record is from RNAcentral. Lineage: Bacteria; Bacillati; Bacillota; Clostridia; Peptostreptococcales; Peptostreptococcaceae.
GGUAGAUAGGUCCAAGGUGUAAGCUCAGUAAUGAGUUCAGCUGAUGGAUACUAAUAGGUCGAGGACUUGACCA